Apis dorsata (giant honeybee) is the source of this 1403-nucleotide long non-coding RNA. RefSeq lists it as uncharacterized. NCBI's taxonomy places the organism in Eukaryota, Metazoa, Arthropoda, Insecta, Hymenoptera, Apidae. The transcript has 3 exons. The record is from RefSeq and is a predicted model, not a curated record.
UGAAGAAACAAAAGUGGGGAAAAUAUUGAUUAGAUUAAAAAUAAUUAUUUCAUCAGAAUUCAAGCAUUAGCCACAGACAAUGUAUCUAUUACAGUAAGAUUGAAGUUUUAAGUUCCCACUCUGUUAAUUUUUCUGCAUUGUCUAUAAAUUUAAUGUAAUAGGCCAAAAUUUCAAGUCCUCCUAUUAUAAAAUAAGAAAGAGGACUCACAAGAGAAAUCUGAAGUAUUCCACAGAGUUUCAUUGCUCAUAUCUUUGCCUCAGUAUUACUCUCAGCAAUUGUCUGCGGUCAUCCAUGUCCAUAACACGACAGAUUGAACAGCACUGGUUUGUAGGAAUUGUACGCACCCCGCUGGUGAGAAUAGGGUUUGCAACUUGUUGCACGUUGAAACGAGAAUGAACGAGUGAAACGGUGGGGACGACCAUGCGUAAAACAGACGGAAGGAAAAUUGGCGGCAUUAAAUUUCCAUAAUGACAUGUACCUAUUACACAAAUAUAACGAUGCAAUUAACAAAGCUAAAAGAUGAAAAACGAGAUAUUAGUGAAAUGAAAUAGUAAAAUAAGUCUACUUUCGUGAUAUAUGUUUGUAAUUUAAUACUCGUAUUAAAUUUUUUAUUCGAAAAGGAAAUUCGAUUAAAUAUUUAUUAGGAAAAUGGCGAUAUGCUAAAUAUAAUUCUUUAGAUAUACCAUAAGACAUACAAAAUAAUCGAAUAUUCUUUCAACGUGAAUGUGUCUAAGAUGCUAUUUUCCACUCUCUAUUCAUAAAUGUAUACUUACUCAUAUUAAUAUCCUUUAAUUAUAGAAGUGGAAUUAUAGAAAAAUCGAAGAAACAUAAGAAAGAAAUUCUUAUUUUCUUUAGAAUUAAAAAUUAUUGUCUCAGAAUUGAAAUAUACUACAGAUUUAGCUAAACAUUUAUAGCUUGAAAUUAUAAUAUUUUUAUCCCCAUAGUAUAGCCAUUGUCCAUUUAUUUGUCAUGCGAAAUGUCAACCUUAUUACUUUUUGAUUUCCAUAGUGAUCGGAAAUAUGGAAAAUAUUCAAGAAAAGGAAAAAUUGUGGGAAUAUUCGAUGAGGGAAGAAAAAAAGAGGAGAGAAAUAGUAGGAUGUUCAUUUAUAUGGCUGUCAUUCAAACUUCUUCAAAGAAUGGAAGGCUUCGAUAUUACAACAUUAAUCGAAUUCUUAUGAUCUGUGUUGAUCUUUGUUACAAUUAUUAUUAAUUAUGUAUUUCAUAGAUUGAGAACUAAAAUUUAAAUUUAUUCAGAAAGAAGAUUCCGCUUUAAUUUUAUGAUGAAAUUAAAAAUGAUUGGAACUCGUUAAGAAACAUAAUAAGAACGACAAAAUCAUUCAUGAACACUGUAAAAAGGAUAACAAUGAGUUUCAUUAGUAAAUAAAACGCAUAUUGAUUCAUA